CCUACGGGAGGCAGCAGUGGGGAAUUUUGGACAAUGGACGCAAGUCUGAUCCAGCCAUGCCGCGUGCGGGAAGAAGGCCUUCGGGUUGUAAACCGCUUUUGUCAGGGAAGAAACGAGUUUCUCUAAUACAGAGACUUAAUGACGGUACCUGAAGAAUAAGCACCGGCUAACUACGUGCCAGCAGCCGCGGUAAUACGUAGGGUGCAAGCGUUAAUCGGAAUUACUGGGCGUAAAGCGUGCGCAGGCGGUUAUGCAAGACAGAUGUGAAAUCCCCGGGCUCAACCUGGGAACUGCAUUUGUGACUGCAUGGCUAGAGUACGGUAGAGGGGGGAUGGAAUUCCGCGUGUAGCAGUGAAAUGCGUAGAUAUGCGGAGGAACACCGAUGGCGAAGGCAAUCCCCUGGACCUGUACUGACGCUCAUGCACGAAAGCGUGGGGAGCAAACAGGAUUAGAUACCCUGGUAGUCCACGCCCUAAACGAUGUCAACUGGUUGUUGGGAGGGUUUCUUCUCAGUAACGAAGCUAACGCGUGAAGUUGACCGCCUGGGGAGUAACGGCCGCAAGGUUGAAACUUCAAAGGAAUUGACGG
Molecule: ribosomal RNA, 588 nt
Filed under: uncultured bacterium
Lineage: Bacteria
Description: bacterial SSU rRNA
Rfam family: Bacterial small subunit ribosomal RNA
Source: RNAcentral